Molecule: long non-coding RNA, 697 nt
Organism: Equus quagga
Lineage: Eukaryota; Metazoa; Chordata; Mammalia; Perissodactyla; Equidae
Exons: 3
Source: RefSeq, a predicted model, not a curated record
CGCGCGGGCGGAUAGCGCCCAAGGUUUCUCUCCUCUUUCCCGCCCGAUACGCGCUCCCUCCCCCCGCCCGCCGCCUUCUCAGCCUCCGCGCGGGCGCCUCACGCCGUGACAGCCCAAGAACACAACGCCGGAACGCAUCUCUAGGCAGCCCGCCCCCACGCGACAUCCGUCACCUGACACGGCCAAACCAGGAACCGCCGCGGCCCGGCGGCUCCCAGUCCCGCUCGCGUCCCCGCUGCCCCGGACCCCUGCCUUUAUUUCUCACGCCCCUCGCCGAGGGGCUUCCACUGCUGCAAACCAGAGAGAGAAAAGGAAAAGGAAAGCAAGGUCAUCUCGUCGCUCUAUCCGCCAUUCAGUUUGAAAGAAAUGGCGCUCCGCUCCGCUUCUACAUUUGGGAGACCGGCGAAAUUAAGGGAAGCCGCUGCGUGCGGCCGACGCGACAUCUGGACACUGCGUGGCGCUGGCGCCGCUGGAGCGGCGGGCCGGCCGCCUGAUCAGAAGGACAUGGAGCCGGGGGAGCAGAGGGGAAAGGAUAAAAGCAAUUUACAGCAAGGAUCUCUCAGUAUCACUUGCUGACUUCAAUUCGAAGAUGAUUUUUUCUGGGGCCGGCCCGGUGGUGCAGCGGUUAAGUGCCCACGUUCUGCUUCGGGCAGCCCGGGGUUCACCGGUUUGGAUCCCUGGUGUGGACAUGGCACCG